Epinephelus moara (kelp grouper) is the source of this 2061-nucleotide long non-coding RNA. RefSeq lists it as uncharacterized. The transcript has 3 exons. NCBI's taxonomy places the organism in Eukaryota, Metazoa, Chordata, Actinopteri, Perciformes, Serranidae. The record is from RefSeq and is a predicted model, not a curated record.
GCAGCAUAUAGACUGCUGAAUUAUUCAUGUGCCCAGCCAAGGCUGUGACUGGACUGGUUGUGCUAUUUGCAUGCAUCAGACAUGCUGUUUGUCUGUUUGCUAACAUUCCUCAUUCAAAGACUUGUUAACUAGCAGACGGGCUUAGCUGGAGCCUUGCAGACAGCCUCAUGGCCUCCUAUUGUUUCAGGCCUCUCACCAGGCCUGGACCCAGCCAGUGGCAGGCGAGCCGUGCAGCCCUGAGCUUGGGGCUCAGACUGUGUGGCUGGAAGAGGGAGUGAGGCUGUAGCUGAGAUUGAGGCUGGGGCUCAGGCUGGAGCAGUGGCUGAGGCACGGCUGUGAAAAGAGACAGUCUGAGGGAAAUCGCUGGGUCUAGAAAGAACUACCAAACGGGAGCUUAUGGCUUUCUCCUCUUCUUGACAGAGAUGUGGAUCAAAAGCGGGAAGAGCUGCCAAAUUUCGCAUCCUGUCCGGACAUUUACCAUCUUUGCUCUGAAAAAUCGGCAGUGAGAUGGGUUUUGACUCCAGCCACAGGCACAAACAAUUUGGCCAACAAGUGAAAUCACGUACAGACAGACUGGCGAUCGCAGCAGCAUUAAGUAGCAGAUUUUCGCUCGGGGAUUUUCAGACGAAGGCUACCUGACAUGUUGCUGAAAUCGCUACAGAGCCAGGUGAGAAACAUUAAAAACGGCAGCAGCUGCGGCCCUCUGCUGCGCACAUGUGGGCCAGGAUAUGAGCUAGCAUGAGCUCGCCCACUGUCAACACUGGUCACUAUUGUUAACACUCUCCUCUCUGAAGCACAAAAUCAGUACUGAGGAAAGAAAGGGAAGGCAUGGUGGAAUCAGUAUUUACAGUUUAUUGCAAUGUAUUCUAUGUUGGGAGCUGUCAUGUUUACUUACUUUAGGACAGUGGUUCCCAAUCGUUUUGAUGUGUGACUCUUUAAAGGUCCAGUGUGUAGGAUUUAGGGGGACAUAUUGGCAGAAAUAAAAUAUAAUAAGUGUGUUUUCUUUAUUGUAUAAUCACUGGAAAAAAAGAAUUGUUGUGUUUUUGUUACCUUAGAAGAAGCCAUUUAUUUCUGCAUAGGGAGCAGGUCCCCGACUACGGAGAUCAGCGUGUUGCACUGCCAUGUUUCUACAGUGGCCAAGAACAGACAAACACUGGCUCUAGAUAAGGCCUUUCCCAUUUCUGAGUUUGCAGCCCCUCUGCAAUGACAGCAAUGGAAAAACACUUUUGCAGACGCAGAUGGUGAGGUGGUGAAUUGACGCCAGAUUGUAGAAAUUAAAUGUGCGAGGAAUUGUAUAAUAAUGUCUCUCACACGUUUAAAUUCGCCUCAUAUCACACGGUACUUUUAGAUCCGCUUUAUCAUAAACAUUUAAUCCACCCACUUUAUUUUUGCUCAUGCUCGUGAGCCAUACUUUUUCCAUAGGCACCGCUCAGCUCAAUAUUUCAUCAGCUCAGUCUCACCAUCACAUUCCCAAAUCCAGAGCGCAGAGGAGAGGGGUAGACUGUGUGCUGCUGACGGUCGUGGUCAGCUGUGGAGCGCACAUCAAAUAGCAUUAGAUAAUUGCAAAACAGAGCGUCAACAGUUUUCAAUAAUAUCUUCCAAUACUGUUAGCACAUGUCACCAAGUACGACUUUAGUUUUCAUAUAGUGUUUGUAUGUAAAAAAUCACUGAGGUGAACACGACUAUGCACUUGGGACGUCACAGUGUUGCCAUACACACUCCCUCUCCAGUCACCUUACAUACAUCUUCACCACCUGCACGUGUAGAUUAUGUAAAUUAGUAAAGUCUAGAAAUAACGCCAGUGAUGGCUCUCACACAAUUAUUAUAACAAACUUAAAUAGAUAGAUAAAUCAUAAUAUCCCAGGGUCGGGGAUACACUGACUGUCACAAUCAUUUUGGCACGGUGUGAAACAAUCAGUCUAAAUGCUGUACACAUAUAAACACUGCACUGACACUCAGUUGUUGCCGUGAUUCACCCAUAAAGACACUCAUCAGCAGGCUCAUUUCUAUGCAUCAGCAUUCACGAGGGGCUUUGCAUACAUCAUUUAUAGUUGAAUGUGG